GACGAACGCUGGCGGCGUGCUUAACACAUGCAAGUCGAACGGUAAGGCCCUUCGGGGUACACGAGUGGCGAACGGGUGAGUAACACGUGGGUGAUCUGCCCUGCACUUCGGGAUAAGCCUGGGAAACUGGGUCUAAUACCGGAUAGGACUCCUGGCUUCAUGGUUGGGGGGGGAAAGCUUUUGCGGUGGGGGAUGGGCCCGCGGCCUAUCAGCUUGUUGGUGGGGUAAUGGCCUACCAAGGCGACGACGGGUAGCCGGCCUGAGAGGGUGACCGGUCACACUGGGACUGAGAUACGGCCCAGACUCCUACGGGAGGCAGCAGUGGGGAAUAUUGCACAAUGGGCGCAAGCCUGAUGCAGCGACGCCGCGUGAGGGAUGACGGCCUUCGGGUUGUAAACCUCUUUCAGCUAUGACGAAGCGCAAGUGACGGUAGUAGCAGAAGAAGGACCGGCCAACUACGUGCCAGCCGCCGCAGUAA
RNAcentral lists this ribosomal RNA (478 nucleotides) under uncultured bacterium. Its description in RNAcentral is "partial 16S ribosomal RNA". It matches the Rfam family "Bacterial small subunit ribosomal RNA", at positions 28 to 523 of the family's 1533-position model. The record is from RNAcentral.